This 4062-nucleotide long non-coding RNA is filed under the name Homo sapiens (human). RNAcentral's name for it is "HSALNT0313955". The record is from RNAcentral. Lineage: Eukaryota; Metazoa; Chordata; Mammalia; Primates; Hominidae.
ACACAGCAGAUAGGUCUUGUGAAGUAUUGAAGCCUAUGGGCAGAGAAUUAGACUGGGGAAAGGAUUAGCUAUAUAACCAGUGACUUUGGGUGGAACUCUAUACCAGCUCCAUCUGUUUUACAGUUGGUUCUGAUGCCAUAAAGAAGGGCAAUGGUAUGCUCUUCUCAGCACAUUGAAUUACCAAAAUAACCUCCUUCAACAAAAUUACAGAUUUAUUUUUGAGAGUCAGAAUGUAACUUUUUAACCUGUAGAUCCACGGCUAAAAGAAAAUAAUAAACACCCAAUAAGCAUGUAUUAUGGGCCAGGCACAGGGUUAGGUACUUUCACUUUUAUUAUCUGAGCCCCUCCUUGAGGAGGGAUAGUAGGAAAUUCAACAGUAACAAUAUGACUAUGAGGUGGCUAACGUGGCUAAUUUGCUACUAGGGAAAGGAGAAUAAGUUUUCUUAGCUAGGUUAGUCUCCUACUCAGUAUAUUCCUAGGGAAAUCAGGCUGGGAAACCCAGUACACAGUAAGUAGAAAGAAGAGGUAUAUGGCUGAAGAAAAUCCACUCCAACCAAAUGAGACUAGCAUUAAUUAUUAUCACUUCUUAACUUCUGGAUCAUCCAACAGCCUACAAUCCAAAUGAAACAUGCACCUGUAUAAAUCUUUAGAUUUGAACGACUUUAAAGUGCAGUAAAGCACUUCGUUAGUGGUCAAAUGCUAACCUUUGCAUUUUUCACUUUGGGAGAUGAGAGGAGAUUAACAGCAAUUUGGGUCUUUAGAGGUUCCUCUGCCUAACACCCUGACACCACAGGGCUUCCCAGGCUUGUUUGGUGGAGAUCAUCUGGUCUUCCUUGGGAUGAGGAUCUAAGCCUGAAAAUCUUAAUGGCAUAUUUACUUUUAUUUUUUCUAUCACAUUUUAUAAAAACAAGAUAAAAAUUACAUAAAUUGUUUGAAAAGAAAUACUCGUAAAUUGAAGCCAGUCCUAGGUUUGUUAAUGAACACUUCUAUUUUUACAGAAAAUGUCAUAAGGUCAUUGUUGACUGCAGAUGAUAAGCAACCCAAUUGGGUGUUUAUUCUAAAUAUAUCACUGCCAGUGUAACCCUUGGCAGCACCCCACUUCCUCCUUCCACCCGGGAUUUCCCACCAGAUGGGGAGAGAGCUCAUUACUAACCCAGAGGAGAGAACUGACGCCAACACCCACAGCAGCAGUUCAGUCAACCCCUUCAUUACUCUUCCUUCUGCCUAAAAUCCCAGCAGCCUCUGGUGAAAACCUUGGCCAUAGAAUGCUGUAAAUCUCAGGAUCCCUCACUAACGCUUCACUUUUCAUGGAGGUCAUGACUAAGUUGAGAAAGACUUUCUUUGCCUGCCCCCAGCUGAGUGACCUGCUUUCUCAGCAGCAUGAUUUCUCUAAUGAGAUUGUUCCACAAAGAGAAGAAUGAAAUCAAGUGUCAGGGGGUUGGAUCAAAGUGGCUCUUAUUCUCUGAGGCACAGGGUCAGACUGCAGGUACAAAUGAGCCGUUGGGUCAGAGAGGGUCCUGUUUAGAGCGUGUCUCCACCCCCAUCAUGUCUCUUCUUUCUCCUUGUCAUGACCUAUCUUUAAAACUAUGGAAAAGAUCUCUCAUGCAAAUGUUUAAAUUGAUUUCAGGAAAGAUGCAUGGAAUAUCUAAUAUGUAUAGCUAUUCUUUGGAGCACUUAGCUCAUCAUAUAUACAUUCCUAUCACAGUCAUCCUGUACACCUUAUCUUAUUAACAGUAAUCCCAUGAGGUAGACUGUUACUUUUCUAAGUUUAUUGAAGAGAAAACUGUGACUCAGAAAUGUUGAGUAACUGUCUCCAAAACAAAGGACGAGUAAAUAGCAGAAGGGAGAUUUUUACCCAGUUUUUAAUCUGUCUUCAAAAUAUAUAAGCCCAACCCUCUGAUACAGCAAACAAUAGAUACCUAGCAUUGAGCUGGGCGAUGUGGGGGAUUCAAAGAUGAAACAGGCCAUGUUAUGGACUCAAGCAGUUUACAGUGUAAUUGUUGAGACAGACAUUAAUGUAAAUUAUAUAUUAAAAAAGAGAGAAUGUGAAAAGUGUUAUGCCAUGGUAGGAGUACAAAAAAAUGCUUUGAUAACAUUAAGGUUAGAGUAAGAUGAUAAUAAAAUAGCUAUCAUUUAUUACAUUAUUUUAAACCUGACAAGAACUUAUAAGAAAGAUACAAUGACUGUUCCCAUAUUAUAGAUACUGAACUUGUGUCUUACUCCAAAUCAUUAAGAAAAUGGGAGAAAGGAAAUUUGGACUUUUGUCUUCUGACCACAGAACCUGUGCUUUUAACUUUUACAUUACACUAAUUCAUUGUCAGUGAAAGAAACUAUUUUGUAGAGAAAUUGUAAUUUUAGUUAGGCAUGAAUGGAUACUUUUUAAAAAAAUAAAAACGUUUUCUGGUGAGAAAGGGGAGUAUGUCAUUCCAGGUAGUGGAAAAAAUGUGUGCAGAGGUACAGAGGGAUAGGAUAGCAAGGUGGAUUCCAGAAUCACAGAAUAGACAAUGAUGUGAAGAGAAGAGAAACAGUCCAUUGCUAAAGCUAAAGCUGAAAAGAUGAUCACAUAGAUUUUUUGGCAUGUAUAGUAUAACUUAUACAUUACAGAAAUCAUAAAGUAGUCAAUUUGAAGGAAGAAUUAUAACCCAUGGAAUGGUUCUCUUGACUAUCUCUAGUUAUUCUUUUUUUACUAGUCUUUUCCAACAUGGUAGUCAUUUUAAAAAAUGAUAUGUAUCUAAUGACUUCAUUUAGUGGAGAAAUAUUAUUCAAUUAUUAUUCAAUUGUUUUCCAAUUCCUAAUGAUGUUCAAGUAACUCAAUAAAUAAGAGAGUAAUGGCCAAGGAAUAUAGAAUCCAAAUGAAGAGAAUGCACUGUCAGAAACAUCUCUUCCUGCUGAACAGUGGGUACGCAGUGGAAAGAGGUGGUGACUUGGGUGUUAGAGGAGGGAAGCGAAACUGAACUAGCUCUUGAGCAUCAACUCAUAAUGUUUCAGGGGGAAGAAAGAGAAAAUAAAGUGGGGAAAUGGAAUAAGCGAAGUGAGAGCUAGCAGUCAAGGAAGGUCGGAGCAUAGACCUCGCGAAAGGGAGUGGUUUCACUCGACAAGUAUGGAGAGACCCUGUUGUGGUCAGGAAUGUCAAGCUUUUAAAAAGGCAUUGGGAGCCCAUUGAAGGUUGUUCAUAGGAUAGUGACAAUAGGAGACCAGCAAAGCAUUAGAAAAACGUUACUCUACAGUGGUGAUUUUGAAUGGUUCAAGAGGGGAGAUACUGGAGAUUUGAAAGACUGGUUGGAAGCCUACAGCAUUUGCUCAGGUAAGUGGUAAUAAUAGUGACAAUGCAAAGGAUGAAUGGGUUGAGAGAUGUUACAGAGCAAAGAUCCACAGGCUUUGUGAAUGACUAAAUUUAGGGAAUAAAGAAGAAAAAAAUCAACUUAAUGCUGGAUGAGUAGAGGAAAAAUUAUUAACAUUAAGAGAAACUAGUUGUCACAAAAUUAGAAGUUCUAUUGGCCAUGUUGAAAUUGAGACCCGUAACAUGAGCAGGCACCAAAUAACAUGGCCAGCAGGCAGAAAUACUUAUAUCUAGAGCUCAGAACAUCCUGUUGUUAAGCCCUGGUCUGCAUAGGCAUAGGAGCACCCCUGGAAGAGUGUGCAGAGAAAAGAUCAGCGGCAGAAACGUAAGGAGUAUCUCCAUACUGUGGUGACAAGAAAAUGAUCAGCCAUCUAAGGAAACAGUAGAACCUUAGUAAGAUGUUAUUGAAACAAACAGAGGAGAGUCAGCAGAGUCAAAGCUGCAGUGCCCUCCGCGAGAAUGUGCCUGUUGGUGUUGUCAGUCUUCUGGGAAGGAAAUACUAUAGAAGAGUGUUUGGGAUAGAAGUCAGCAGGUUAGACUUAACAGGGAACAAGGGGGCAGAAGCAAUAAAUGUAAUUCAUUCUUUUAAAAAUGUUGGCAUUAAAAGGAAAGGAGGAUUGGCUAGUGACUUGAGGAAAUAGCACUGAUAAAGAAAAGUUUUUGCUAUGGAAAACAUAAUUCUAUCAAUGUGUUUUGAUAGGGACCUUGCAACUCAAAAGCUU